This 633-nucleotide ribosomal RNA is filed under the name Penicillium crustosum. Its description in RNAcentral is "eukaryotic LSU rRNA". It matches the Rfam family "Eukaryotic large subunit ribosomal RNA", at positions 1 to 649 of the family's 3401-position model. The record is from RNAcentral. Lineage: Eukaryota; Fungi; Ascomycota; Eurotiomycetes; Eurotiales; Aspergillaceae.
UGACCUCGGAUCAGGUAGGGAUACCCGCUGAACUUAAGCAUAUCAAUAAGCGGAGGAAAAGAAACCAACAGGGAUUGCCCCAGUAACGGCGAGUGAAGCGGCAAGAGCUCAAAUUUGAAAGCUGGCUCCUUCGGGGUCCGCAUUGUAAUUUGCAGAGGAUGCUUCGGGAGCGGUCCCCAUCUAAGUGCCCUGGAACGGGACGUCAUAGAGGGUGAGAAUCCCGUAUGGGAUGGGGUGUCCGCGCCCGUGUGAAGCUCCUUCGACGAGUCGAGUUGUUUGGGAAUGCAGCUCUAAAUGGGUGGUAAAUUUCAUCUAAAGCUAAAUAUUGGCCGGAGACCGAUAGCGCACAAGUAGAGUGAUCGAAAGAUGAAAAGCACUUUGAAAAGAGAGUUAAAAAGCACGUGAAAUUGUUGAAAGGGAAGCGCUUGCGACCAGACUCGCUCGCGGGGUUCAGCCGGCAUUCGUGCCGGUGUAUUUCCCCGCGGGCGGGCCAGCGUCGGUUUGGGCGGUCGGUCAAAGGCCCUCGGAAGGUAACGCCCCCAGGGGCGUCUUAUAGCCGAGGGUGCAAUGCGACCUGCCUAGACCGAGGAACGCGCUUCGGCUCGGACGCUGGCAUAAUGGUCGUAAGCGACC